CCGCAGAUGCUACGAGUAAACUGAAAAAGUUUGAAUCAUGACCGCACGAUAACUCGCCCAAACCUUACACCAACUACCAGGCCGGCCUUACGGAGCUUUGUCAUCUUUGGUGUAUUUAAUAAGUUUUUAAAACAAUAUGGCGCACUAGCAGGCAUUUAUUUUUCAACGGCUAUGGCGGCGGAGUCGAGCAGCGGAAAGAUGAGACGGCUGUUCCUCCCCCAAUGGAUGGCACUAUUUCUCUCGCGAUUAAUUCGUCGAUGUCUCAAGUUGAGCAUGAGUUGGUGUGCCAGCAACGACUGCAUCAGUUUGCUCGAUUAGUUAGGCUAUUACAGUAGGGUGAGGAGGAUGAGCGAAUUACAUAAGCGCAGACACAACAACGUAAUGGGGUGAGAUCGGUACAUCGACAUGAACGACAACGGUUACUUCAUUUGGAACCACCCAAGACGAUACAUCAGGUUAGAACAUACUUCAUUAUUCUUCUUUCUUUCAAUUCUAAAUGCGUGGGCAUCGAUGGUGGAUAUCGUUCAGCAGCAGCGAUGGUUGUACACCGAGUGGUCUGGAUUAUGACUGUUGCUUUGCAUGCAUGGAGGCUGGACAUAUGAGAUACCGAUGGUAAUUCUCGUCACUUGUCUGUACUUAAUUUCUUUUUCUAAUAUUUAUAUUUUGAAAUUUGUUGGUACUAUAUGGUUAUAUGAACUUUUAAUUUGGGAUUAUGGAUUAUGAGACUUUGUUAUAUAUAUUGUGAUCGGUUUGCGUUUGUUCGGGAUUUGAAUUUUGAGUUGGGAUUUGAAUAGUAAAAAUUUUGAAUUUGAAUAGUUGUAUGAUGUGAUAUAAAUAGUAGUAUGAUGUGAUAUUUUGAAAAUAAAAUAUAGGUGUUUGAUUUGAUA
Molecule: long non-coding RNA, 887 nt
Organism: Andrographis paniculata
Lineage: Eukaryota; Viridiplantae; Streptophyta; Magnoliopsida; Lamiales; Acanthaceae
Exons: 3
Source: RefSeq, a predicted model, not a curated record